Molecule: ribosomal RNA, 176 nt
Filed under: uncultured bacterium
Lineage: Bacteria
Description: partial 16S ribosomal RNA
Rfam family: Bacterial small subunit ribosomal RNA
Source: RNAcentral
CCUACGGGAGGCAGCAGUAGGGAACUUUCCACAAUGGACGAAAGUCUGAUGGAGCAACGCCGCGUGCAGGAUGAAGGCCUUACGGGUCGUAAACUGCUUUUAUCUGUGAAGAUAUAUGACGGUACCCAGAUGAAUAAGGAUCGGCUAACUCCGUGCCAGCAGCCGCGGUCAUACGG